UGGGGAAUAUUGGACAAUGGGCGCAAGCCUGAUCCAGCCAUGCCGCGUGGAUGAUGAAGGCCCUAGGGUUGUAAAGUCCUUUCGGCGGGGAAGAUAAUGACGGUACCCGCAGAAGAAGCCCCGGCUAACUUCGUGCCAGCAGCCGCGGUAAUACGAAGGGGGCUAGCGUUGCUCGGAAUCACUGGGCGUAAAGCGCACGUAGGCGGAUUCUUAAGUCGGUGGUGAAAUCCUGGAGCUCAACUCCAGAACUGCCUCCGAUACUGAGAGUCUUCGAGUCCGGGAGAGGUGAGUGGAACUGCGAGUGUAGAGGUGAAAUUCGUAGAUAUUCGCAAGAACACCAGUGGCGAAGGCGGCUCACUGGCCCGGUACUGACGCUGAGGUGCGAAAGCGUGGGGAGCAAACAGGAUUAGAUACCCCGGUAGUCCCUGAGCGGGCUGGCAAGGCGCAU
RNAcentral lists this ribosomal RNA (448 nucleotides) under uncultured bacterium. RNAcentral's name for it is "bacterial SSU rRNA". It matches the Rfam family "Bacterial small subunit ribosomal RNA", at positions 355 to 825 of the family's 1533-position model. The record is from RNAcentral.